This 433-nucleotide ribosomal RNA is filed under the name uncultured bacterium. Its description in RNAcentral is "partial 16S ribosomal RNA". It matches the Rfam family "Bacterial small subunit ribosomal RNA", at positions 29 to 507 of the family's 1533-position model. The record is from RNAcentral.
AACGAACGCUGGCGGCAUGCCUAACACAUGCAAGUCGAACGAGACCUUCGGGUCUAGUGGCGCACGGGUGCGUAACGCGUGGGAACCUGCCCUUAGGUUCGGAAUAACUCCCCGAAAGGGGUGCUAAUACCGGAUAAUGUCUUCGGACCAAAGAUUUAUCGCCUUUGGAUGGGCCCGCGUUGGAUUAGCUAGUUGGUAGGGUAAAAGCCUACCAAGGCGACGAUCCAUAGCUGGUCUGAGAGGAUGAUCAGCCACACUGGGACUGAGACACGGCCCAGACUCCUACGGGAGGCAGCAGUGGGGAAUAUUGGACAUGGGGCGAAAGCCUGAUCCAGCAAUGCCGCGUGAGUGAUGAAGGCCUUAGGGUUGUAAAGCUCUUUUACCCGGGAUGAUAAUGACAGUACCGGGAGAAUAAGCUCCGGCUAACUCCGUG